GAUAUGAAUGGACCCUUGGG
Molecule: non-coding RNA, 20 nt
Filed under: Rattus norvegicus (Norway rat)
Lineage: Eukaryota; Metazoa; Chordata; Mammalia; Rodentia; Muridae
Source: RNAcentral